This 471-nucleotide ribosomal RNA is filed under the name uncultured bacterium. RNAcentral describes it as "bacterial SSU rRNA". It matches the Rfam family "Bacterial small subunit ribosomal RNA", at positions 107 to 598 of the family's 1533-position model. The record is from RNAcentral.
UGAGUAACGCGUGGGCAAUCUGCCCCUAAGUCCGGGAUAACAGAGCGAAAGUUCUGCUAAGACCGGAUACUCUUCCCGGGUCGCAUGGCCUGGGAAGGAAAGGAUACGCUUAGGGAUGAGCCCGCGUCCCAUUAGCUAGUUGGUGAGGUAACGGCCCACCAAGGCGACGAUGGGUAGCCGGCCUGAGAGGGUGGACGGCCACACUGGGACUGAGACACGGCCCAGACUCCUACGGGAGGCAGCAGUAGGGAAUUUUCCGCAAUGGGGGAAACCCUGACGGAGCAACGCCGCGUGAGGGAAGAAGGUCUUCGGAUCGUAAACCUUUGUCAUCGAGGACGAUAAUGACGGUACUCGAGGAGGAAGCCCCGGCUAACUACGUGCCAGCAGCCGCGGUAACACGUAGGGGGCGAGCGUUGUCCGGAAUUACUGGGCGUAAAGGGCGCGUAGGCGGCUUAAUAAGUCUGAUGUGAA